RNAcentral lists this ribosomal RNA (507 nucleotides) under Hiroa stubbingsi. RNAcentral describes it as "partial 16S ribosomal RNA". It matches the Rfam family "Bacterial large subunit ribosomal RNA", at positions 1808 to 2593 of the family's 2925-position model. The record is from RNAcentral. Lineage: Eukaryota; Metazoa; Arthropoda; Thecostraca; Balanomorpha; Pyrgomatidae.
CAAAAACAUUUCCUCUUAGAAAAAGAGGUAAAGCCUGCUCACUGAGGAUUUAAAGAGCCGCAGUAUCCUAACUGUGCUAAGGUAGCAUAAUCAUUAGUCUUUUAAUUGGAGACUGGUAUGAAUGGCUUAACGAGAAAUUGACUUUUUUUGUUAUAAAAAUUGAAUUUAAUUUUUUAGUGAAAAAGCUAAAAUAAUUCAGAAAGACGAGAAGACCCUAUAGAGUUUUAUGUUACAUAAGAUUUAUUUUUAGUAGGUUUUUAAAAAAUGAGUUUUUAAAAACAUUUUGUUGGGGCGACAUUUAGAUAUAAGAAACUCUUUAUUUUUAUAAUUUUAGUGAAAAUUUUAAUUGAUCCUUUAAAAAAGAUCAAAAGAAAAAAUUACCUUAGGGAUAACAGCGUAAUCUUUUUUGAGAGUUCUAAUCGACAAAAAGGUUUGCGACCUCGAUGUUGGACUAAAAUUUAGACAGGGUGCAGUAGUUCUGUUUUAAGGUCUGUUCGACCUAUAAUA